RNAcentral lists this ribosomal RNA (253 nucleotides) under uncultured Eubacteriales bacterium. RNAcentral's name for it is "uncultured Clostridiales bacterium partial 16S ribosomal RNA". It matches the Rfam family "Bacterial small subunit ribosomal RNA", at positions 524 to 776 of the family's 1533-position model. The record is from RNAcentral. Lineage: Bacteria; Bacillati; Bacillota; Clostridia; Eubacteriales.
UACGUAGGGGGCAAGCGUUAUCCGGAUUUACUGGGUGUAAAGGGAGCGCAGGCGGCGCGUUAAGUCUGAUGUGAAAACCCGCGGCUCAACUGCGGGACUGCAUUGGAAACUGGCGGGCUUGAGUGCCGGAGAGGCAAGUGGAAUUCCUGGUGUAGCGGUGAAAUGCGUAGAUAUCAGGAGGAACACCAGUGGCGAAGGCGGCUUGCUGGACGAUGACUGACGUUGAGGCUCGAAAGCGUGGGGAGCAAACAGG